AAAUUUAAAUAAUAAACUAGGAUUAGAUACCCUAUUAUUUUAAAUGUUAAUUAUAUUUACCAGGGUACUAUUAGUUAAGGUCUUUAAACCCAAAGAAUUUGGCGGUAUCUCAUUCCAUUCAGAGGAACCUACCCCGUGAUUGAUAAUACACGAUUUACUCUACUUAAUUUAUUUGUUUGUAUAUCUCCGUUAUCAGAGAAUCUUUUUAGAGUUAUAAUUCUCAAGAUUUAUAAUUAUAAAAUAUUUCAGGUCAAGGUGCAGCUUAUAGUUAAGAGGAGGUGGGUUACAAUAGGUUUUUGUUUAUAACGGAUUUGAUGGUGAAAUACURUUAAUGAAGGUGGAUUUGAUAGUAAUUUAAUUUAUUUAAUUUAACUGAUAYUGGCUCUGAGGUGUGUACACAUCGCCCGUCGCUCUCAUUAUUGAUUAUUCUAUUUUAUUAUUUUAAGGUAGCUUCAAUUAUAGAUGAGAUAAGUCGUAACAUAGUAGAUGUACUGGAAAGUGUAUCUAGUAAGAGUUU
This 517-nucleotide ribosomal RNA is filed under the name Schistocerca lineata (birdwing grasshopper). RNAcentral describes it as "partial 12S ribosomal RNA". It matches the Rfam family "Microsporidia small subunit ribosomal RNA". Lineage: Eukaryota; Metazoa; Arthropoda; Insecta; Orthoptera; Acrididae. The record is from RNAcentral.